Long non-coding RNA from Triplophysa rosa, 611 nucleotides. RefSeq lists it as uncharacterized. The transcript has 5 exons. NCBI's taxonomy places the organism in Eukaryota, Metazoa, Chordata, Actinopteri, Cypriniformes, Nemacheilidae. The record is from RefSeq and is a predicted model, not a curated record.
GGCGUAUACCUGCGCUACUGUGUCUUUAAGUUUGUGCGCAUGCUCAGAGACGACUGGAGGAACACCUCAUCGCGGUCAGCAUUUGUUAUUUUUUAAAUUUUCGUGUCGAAAGCCUUCCUGAGGGGUGAUCUGCAGCCUGUUUUUAGGCUAAGGAGAAGGAAGUUGGAGGAGAUCUUUCAGGAAGAGCCACAGCAUCAGGUUCAGGAGUCGGCACAGAUGAUUGUGUACUGCAUCCUGUGUUUGAGGAAACCCAUAAGUCAAGAGAAUCCAUCAAUGGCAGAUUUGAAAAAAGCCAGUGUGUGGUGUUCGGAGCAUUCAGGUGUGCUGCUUGGUUCUGUUCAGCUGCCCAAAGUACUCUGCAUGGAGGACCAAGAUGUUUCAGAGGCCAUGGAAACAUCACAAAAGGCUGAAUUUUCAGAGGACAGAAUUGCAGCUCUUGAACCCUUCAGUUUUGUCUUUACUGAAAUCAAAGAUAUGAGUAUUCCUUGAUAAUGUUGUUGAUAUCAUAAACCUGAAAGUGUUCUGUGAAGCUGAAUCUAAAGAAAAUGCAUAACAUGCCAUUGUUUCUUUUGGCAUUUCUUCUUUUGUUUUUACUGAAGUGACUAGUAAAA